GAUGAACGCUGGCGGCGUGCUUAACACAUGCAAGUCGAACGGAAAGGCCACAGCUUGCUGUCGUACUCGAGUGGCGAACGGGUGAGUCACACGUGCGUGAUCUGCCCUGUACUUCCGGAUAAGCUUGGGUAACUGCGUCUAAUACCGGAUAGGCAUCACAUGUGGGUGAUUGGUUGGAAGGCUUUUGAGGUAUGGGAUGAGCUCGUGGCCGAUCAGAUUGUUGGAGGGGCACUGGCCUGCCAAGGCGUCGACGGGUAGCCGGCCUGAGAGGGUGAACGAGAAAAGUAGGAGACAGAUACGGGCGGGAGUACUGCGGGAGACAGGAGUGUGGUAUAUAGCAUGAUGCAGGCAAGCCGGAUGCAGCAAGGCCGCGUUGUGGAUGAUAGCCUUCUGUUGUAAGGCACCUUUCGUCAGGGAGUAUACUAAGGUGACGGUACCUUAAUAAGAAGCACCGGCUAACUACGUG
Molecule: ribosomal RNA, 466 nt
Filed under: uncultured bacterium
Lineage: Bacteria
Description: partial 16S ribosomal RNA
Rfam family: Bacterial small subunit ribosomal RNA
Source: RNAcentral